Molecule: non-coding RNA, 377 nt
Organism: Petromyzon marinus (sea lamprey)
Lineage: Eukaryota; Metazoa; Chordata; Hyperoartia; Petromyzontiformes; Petromyzontidae
Source: RefSeq, a predicted model, not a curated record
CGUGGACUCCCUCCCAGCGCUGAUGAAUGCACGCAGCCCAUCGAGGGUGCUCGCGAACGGCGAAGCGAGUUCAAAUCCAUCAUAGAGGCGCGUCCUGCCACUUUAAUAGUUGGCCAAUACCAUUCGUGCGUUGUUCGUUUGUCGGAAGAAACCGGACAACCCGUGCCAAAGCCGUGCAGAGCCUUCAUAAUGAGCAACGAUCUCGUGUCGUGAACACGCACGUACACAGUGGCUCGGCGGAGAGAACAUUACGGAUGUCCGGUCGAGGCAAAGUCAGAACGUGAGAACAACAAACGCAACGGAAAAAAAAACACGAAAGGCGUGCAAAGUAUAGGAAAGGUAAACACAUCGCUUAAAAAAACAUACAUAUGCAAAUU